Alligator mississippiensis (American alligator) is the source of this 609-nucleotide non-coding RNA. NCBI's taxonomy places the organism in Eukaryota, Metazoa, Chordata, Crocodylia, Alligatoridae. The record is from the annotation of a RefSeq genome assembly.
AUGGCCUUGGCCCCGCUCCUCCUCGUAUUGCUCAUGUGCUGCUCAGGUUGUCUUGCUCAGACCACGCCGACUCAGCCGCCUUCGGUGUCCGUCUCUCCCGGACAAACUGCUACGAUCACCUGCACGGGCAGUAGCAUCGGUAGCUAUGGAGAGAAUUGGUACCAACAGAAACCUGGGAGUGCCCCCCUGACUGUUAUGUACUAUAAUAAUAACAGACCCUCCGGUAUCUCGGACCGGUUCUCUGGUUCCAAGUCCGGUAACACGGCCACAUUGACCAUCACUGGAGUCCAAGCCGUGGAUGAGGCUGAUUAUUACUGCAGUGCUUAUGAUAGUGGCAGUAGCUCUCCACACAAUGACACAGUGCAAUGGGGAAACUAUGAAACAGUGAAAUCCGACUUGAAGCUGCCCAGUGAGUGCAGCAUGGAAUGGCCAGUGUAUUUAGGAAUUGUAAAAGAUGGGUUUGCAGAUGCUGAGGAUCCUGUUCAGUUGUGGAUGGCUGCUGAAGACCGCAUUCCCAACCUGGCAAAAUAUGCAGUGGUUCUUCGGCUGAUGUGGAAAGAAGUUUCAGCAAACUCGGGGCUCUUUUCAGUGCUCAGCGUCAACGUCUGA